RNAcentral lists this ribosomal RNA (468 nucleotides) under uncultured bacterium. RNAcentral's name for it is "partial 16S ribosomal RNA". It matches the Rfam family "Bacterial small subunit ribosomal RNA", at positions 28 to 507 of the family's 1533-position model. The record is from RNAcentral.
GACGAACGCUGGCGGCGUGCUCAACACAUGCAAGUCGAACGGAAAGGCCCUGCUUUUGUGGGGUGCUCGAGUGGCGAACGGGUGAGUAACACGUGAGUAACCUGCCCUUGACUUUGGGAUAACUCCAGGAAACUGGGGCUAAUACCGGAUAGGAGCUCCUGCUGCAUGGUGGGGGUUGGAAAGUUUCGGCGGUUGGGGAUGGACUCGCGGCGUAUCAGCUUGUUGGUGGGGUAGUGGCUCACCAAGGCUUUGGCGGGUAGCCGGCCUGAGAGGGUGACCGGCCACAUUGGGACUAGGAUACGGCCAAGACUGCAGCGGGAGGCAGCGGUGGGAAAUUUUGCACAAUGGGCGGAAGCCUGGUGCAGCAACGCCGCGAGCGGGAUGACGGCGUUCGGGUUGUAAGCCGCUUUCGCCUGUGACGAAGCGUGAGUGACGGUAAUGGGUAAAGGAGCACCGGCUAACUACGUG